ACAGCUUCUCAUAUUUUGCUAAAAUCAAGGGUAGCAUGUGUUCUUAUCGGUUUAAUAUCUGGAGUAUCCUCUGGCAACUAUAUAUUCAAUAGAUUUUAUUUUGAAAGAGAAAGAUUCUUCUCUGUGUACUCCAUGCAUCCACCUGGUACUGGAGUGCCUCCCAGAAUGACGCACGUCAU
Molecule: small nuclear RNA, 179 nt
Organism: Rattus norvegicus (Norway rat)
Lineage: Eukaryota; Metazoa; Chordata; Mammalia; Rodentia; Muridae
Product: U2 spliceosomal RNA
Source: Ensembl